UGGUGAUCGGCGUGCUAGCCGU
This 22-nucleotide microRNA is filed under the name Murid betaherpesvirus 1 (Murine cytomegalovirus). RNAcentral's name for it is "mcmv-miR-M55-1". Its record names the gene mcmv-miR-M55-1. The record is from miRBase by way of RNAcentral. Lineage: Duplodnaviria; Heunggongvirae; Peploviricota; Herviviricetes; Herpesvirales; Orthoherpesviridae.